Molecule: ribosomal RNA, 497 nt
Filed under: uncultured bacterium
Lineage: Bacteria
Description: partial 16S ribosomal RNA
Rfam family: Bacterial small subunit ribosomal RNA
Source: RNAcentral
GAUGAACGCUGGCGGCGUGCCUAAUACAUGCAAGUCGAGCGAACAGACGAGGAGCUUGCUCCUCUGACGUUAGCGGCGGAAGGGGGAGUAAAACGUGGAUAACCUACCUAUAAGACUGGGAUAAAUUCGGGAAACCGGAGCUAAUACCGGAUAAUAUAUUGAACCGCAUGGUUCAAUAGUGAAAGAGGGUUUUGCUGUCACUCAUAGAUGGAUCCGCGCCGCAUUAGCUAGUUGGUACGGUAACGGCUUACCAAGGCGACGAUGCGUAGCCGACCUGAGAGGGUGAUCGGCCACACUGGAACUGAGACACGGUCCAGACUCCUACGGGAGGCAGCAGUAGGGAAUCUUCCGCAAUGGGCGAAAGCCUGACGGAGCAACGCCGCGUGAGUGAUGAAGGUCUUCGGAUCGUAAAACUCUGUUAUUAGGGAAGAACAAAUGUGUAAGUAACUAUGCACUUCUUGACGGUACCUAAUCAGAAAGCCACGGCUAACUACGUG